GACGAACGCUGGCGGCGUGCUUAACACAUGCAAGUCGAACGGUGAAGGGGCCUGCUUUUGUGGGCCCUGGAUGAGUGACGAACGGGUGAGUAACACGUGAGUAACCUGCCCCCUUCUUCUGGAUAACCGCAUGAAAGUGUGGCUAAUACGGGAUAUUCUGGUUCUGUCGCAUGAUGGGUCUGGGAAAGAUUGCGCCUUUGGGUGUUUUUGGUGGGGGAUGGGCUCGCGGCCUAUCAGCUUGUUGGUGGGGUGAUGGCCUACCAAGGCGGUGACGGGUAGCCGGCCUGAGAGGGUGGACGGUCACACUGGGACUGAGACACGGCCCAGACUCCUACGGGAGGCAGCAGUGGGGAAUAUUGCACAAUGGGCGCAAGCCUGAUGCAGCGACGCCGCGUGAGGGAUGGAGGCCUUCGGGUUGUAAACCUCUUUCGCCAGUGAAGCAGGCCUGCUCCUUGUGGGUGGGUUGACGGUAGCUGGAGAAGAAGCGCCGGCUAACUACGUG
RNAcentral lists this ribosomal RNA (502 nucleotides) under uncultured bacterium. RNAcentral describes it as "partial 16S ribosomal RNA". It matches the Rfam family "Bacterial small subunit ribosomal RNA", at positions 28 to 507 of the family's 1533-position model. The record is from RNAcentral.